Molecule: ribosomal RNA, 476 nt
Filed under: uncultured bacterium
Lineage: Bacteria
Description: partial 16S ribosomal RNA
Rfam family: Bacterial small subunit ribosomal RNA
Source: RNAcentral
GAUUAACGCUGGCGGCGUGCAUAACACAUGCAAGUCGAACGAUGAAACUUUAAUGAACCCUUCGGGGAGAAUUAAAGCGGAUUAGUGGCGAACGGGUGAGUAACGCGUGAGUAACCUGCCUUACACAAGGGGAUAGCCUUUGGAAACGAAGAAUAAUACCCUAUAAAACCAUAAAAGCACAUGCAAUUAUGGUCAAAGUGAUAGCGGUGUAAGAUGGACUUGCGUCUGAUUAGCUAGUUGGUGAGAUAAAAGCCCACCAAGGCAACGAUCAGUAGCCGGCUGGAGGGAGUGUCCGGCCACAUUGGGACGGAGACAGGGCCCAAACCCCUACGGGAGGCGGAAGGGGGGAAUUUUGCAAAAGGGGGGAAACCCAAAUGCAGCGAGGCGCGUGAUUUAGAAAGCCUUCGGGUUGUAAAAAUCUUUUGUAUAGGAAGAAAAUGACGGUACUAUACGAAUAAGGUCCGGCUAAUUACGUG